AUCAAACAAGCUUUUAUAGCGUUUCACUUACACUGAAAAAAAUCUUCAAUA
RNAcentral lists this transfer RNA (51 nucleotides) under Habronattus pugillus. RNAcentral describes it as "tRNA-Val". Lineage: Eukaryota; Metazoa; Arthropoda; Arachnida; Araneae; Salticidae. The record is from RNAcentral.